Molecule: small nucleolar RNA, 95 nt
Organism: Otolemur garnettii (small-eared galago)
Lineage: Eukaryota; Metazoa; Chordata; Mammalia; Primates; Galagidae
Gene: SNORD116
Rfam family: Small nucleolar RNA SNORD116
About the family: HBII-85 is a member of the C/D class of snoRNAs, which contain the C (UGAUGA) and D (CUGA) box motifs. HBII-85 is encoded in a tandemly repeated array with another C/D snoRNA, HBII-52, in the Prader-Willi syndrome (PWS) region of chromosome 15. Unlike most other snoRNAs, HBII-85 is expressed prevalently in the brain (but is absent in PWS patients) and lacks any significant complementarity with ribosomal RNA.
Source: Ensembl
GGAUUGAUGAUGACUCCCUUGUCAAAAUAUUCCUUGGAAAAGCUGAACAAAAUGAGUGAAACUUACUACCAUCUCACUCAUUGGAACUGAGGUCC